GUCUAUGGCCAUGCCACCCUGAACAAGCCCGAUCCUGUCUGAUCUCAGAAGCUAAGCAGGGUUGGGCCUGGUUAGUACUUGGAUGGGAGACCACCUAAGAAGACCAGGUGCUGUAGGUG
RNAcentral lists this ribosomal RNA (119 nucleotides) under Pteropus alecto (black flying fox). Lineage: Eukaryota; Metazoa; Chordata; Mammalia; Chiroptera; Pteropodidae. The record is from RNAcentral.